Molecule: ribosomal RNA, 493 nt
Filed under: uncultured bacterium
Lineage: Bacteria
Description: bacterial SSU rRNA
Rfam family: Bacterial small subunit ribosomal RNA
Source: RNAcentral
GAUGAACGCUAGCGGCAGGCCUAACACAUGCAAGUCGAGGGGUAUUAGGAGCUUGCUCCUAAGAGACCGGCGCACGGGUGCGUAACGCGUAUGCAAUCUACCUUGUACAGGGGAAUAGCCCAGAGAAAUUUGGAUUAAUGCCCCAUAGUAUAAUUGAAUCGCAUGGUUUAAUUAUUAAAGUUCCAACGGUACAAGAUGAGCAUGCGUCCCAUUAGUUAGUUGGUAAGGUAACGGCUUACCAAGACAAUGAUGGGUAGGGUCCUGAGAGGGAGAUCCCCCACACUGGUACUGAGACACGGACCAGACUCCUACGGGAGGCAGCAGUGAGGAAUAUUGGUCAAUGGUCGCAAGACUGAACCAGCCAUGCCGCGUGCAGGAAGACGGUCCUAUGGAUUGUAAACUGCUUUUAUACAGGAAGAAACCCUCCCACGUGUGGGAGCUUGACGGUACUGUAGGAAUAAGGAUCGGCUAACUCCGUGCCAGCAGCCGCGGU